This 24-nucleotide non-coding RNA is filed under the name Cricetulus griseus (Chinese hamster). Lineage: Eukaryota; Metazoa; Chordata; Mammalia; Rodentia; Cricetidae. The record is from RNAcentral.
UGUCCCCAGUGACUGACUUCAGGG